This 277-nucleotide ribosomal RNA is filed under the name uncultured bacterium. RNAcentral describes it as "partial 16S ribosomal RNA". It matches the Rfam family "Bacterial small subunit ribosomal RNA", at positions 333 to 626 of the family's 1533-position model. The record is from RNAcentral.
CAGCCCCUACGGGAGGCAGCAGUGGGGAAUAUUGCACAAUGGGGGAAACCCUGAUGCAGCAACGCCGCGUGAGUGAAGAAGUAUUUCGGUAUGUAAAGCUCUAUCAGCAGGGAAGAAGAAAGACGGUACCUGACUAAGAAGCCCCGGCUAACUACGUGCCAGCAGCCGCGGUAAUACGUAGGGGGCAAGCGUUAUCCGGAUUUACUGGGUGUAAAGGGAGCGUAGACGGCAGCGCAAGUCUGGAGUGAAAUGCCGGGGCCCAACCCCGGAACUGCUC